GAUGAACGCUGGCGGCGUGCCUAAUACAUGCAAGUCGAGCGAACAGACGAGGAGCUUGCUCCUCUGACGUUAGCGGCGGACGGGUGAGUAACACGUGGAUAACCUACCUAUAAGACUGGGAUAACUUCGGGAAACCGGAGCUAAUACCGGAUAAUAUAUUGAACCGCAUGGUUCAAUAGUGAAAGACGGUUUUGCUGUCACUUAUAGAUGGAUCCGCGCCGCAUUAGCUAGUUGGUAAGGUAACGGCUUACCAAGGCAACGAUGCGUAGCCGACCUGAGAGGGUGAUCGGCCAAACUGGAACUGAGACACGGUCCAGACUCCUACGGGAGGCAGCAGUAGGGAAUCUUCCGCAGUGGGCGAAAGCCUGACGGAGCAACGCCGCGUGAGUGAUGAAGGUCUUCGGAUCGUAAAACUCUGUUAUUAGGGAAGAACAAAUGUGUAAGUAACUAUGCACGUCUUGACGGUACCUAAUCAGAAAGCCACGGCUAACUACGUG
This 497-nucleotide ribosomal RNA is filed under the name uncultured bacterium. RNAcentral describes it as "partial 16S ribosomal RNA". It matches the Rfam family "Bacterial small subunit ribosomal RNA", at positions 28 to 507 of the family's 1533-position model. The record is from RNAcentral.